CGGCCGGGCAGCCGCCCGCUCUGUCCUUGGGAGCCCCGGGCGCCCGGCAGGGACGUACCCAGUCUUUUCUGCCUUCUCCAGGCUGGUCUCUCCCUUCCUGGUAGACGCCCAGGGCCCGCCAUGGGAGCAGCAGCCCGCGAACGCGCCUUGCCCGUCGCCUCUGUCACGCCUGGGGCAGCCGCUCUGUCGUUGUAGCUGGAGGCUCGCCUGCCCCUUCGCCCUGGGGUGGGGUGUGCCUCCUGGUGCUGGGGCCAGGGACUGCUUUGGCGUCAGGGAUGUGCUUGUGAGAACAAGUUGACAACACAUUACAUCAGAAAAGGAGCGCGAAGAGAGACGCCAAACAUUUUAAACCAGUAAAACUGUUCCCUUUUUUUUUUCUUAAGUAAAACCAUCAGAAUUGCGGAAUUUCGAAGUAUUGAAAUGGAAGUAAUGGCCGGCGUUACUCCCUGCAGGAGCCAGGGACGAGUAGGGAGGUGGAGUGAGGUGGACGCUGGUCUGACUUGCGGGGGUUUCGGUGCUUCCCUGGGCGACUGGAUUCUGCGCUGGACACACGGGAGCUCCGCUGCGGUGUCGGGCACGUCACCCAGGCACACUUGGUUCAGUGUAGAACAAGGCACGUCUUUACAGGCGCCGCCUGAAGUAUCUGAAGUCAACUUUGUUGUUAAUUAGGUCGCUCUCGCGGGGAGCAGCCGGCAGAGGGAGAUGGGAUGCACCUAUCCUGGAGACUCCACUGAUGUUUCAAGAUCAGAAAAUGUAAGAAAAAUCCCAUCAUCAUAAUGCAGAACUAAAAAUGUGGUCAUGUUUAGUAGAUUAUGACCCAGAGUUAAGAAUGUGAACAGCAUUGCUGCAGAGAGGAAUUUUAAGUGAUGUAUGUGAAACUGCCAAAAUGAGAAUUGCAGCUGAAGGAAGUGAGCCAGCAGUCUAACUACAAUCAAUAUCCAGGUUAAGUAAACAAUUACAGUCUGACAGAGUUGGAAGAAAAUCCACGCAGCCUGACAGGGUGCCUGCAGUGUCUUCAGGAUGAGAGAGAGAAAUUGUGAAGAACAAGUUGACUCUACAAAGAUUUUCCCAUAAGAAUCAAGUCCACUAGAUGAAUUUAAAAUUUUGUCCUGGAAGCUUCAAGGGUCAUCCCAGUGUUUCCAGAUAAAUUUGGAGACAAAUAAAAUGAGGAACUGCGGAGCACAGCCUUAACCUGAGAAAGAAUAAAUCACAAGAUGUGGAAAAAAAGAAAGUUCCGU
Molecule: long non-coding RNA, 1238 nt
Organism: Manacus vitellinus (golden-collared manakin)
Lineage: Eukaryota; Metazoa; Chordata; Aves; Passeriformes; Pipridae
Exons: 5
Source: RefSeq, a predicted model, not a curated record